GACGCUCUAACGGGGUGCCAUGAAGAUGGCUGAGAGGUUUUCCAUCUGGAAGCCAACCCGCGGAACCUGAUCCGGUUAACACCGGCGGAGGGAUUAGACCGUUCAAAUCG
This 110-nucleotide non-coding RNA is filed under the name Rhizobium sp. RNAcentral describes it as "TPP sequence". It matches the Rfam family "TPP riboswitch aptamer (THI element)". From Rfam's summary of the family: Vitamin B(1) in its active form thiamin pyrophosphate (TPP) is an essential coenzyme that is synthesised by coupling of pyrimidine and thiazole moieties in bacteria. The previously detected thiamin-regulatory element, thi box was extended, resulting in a new, highly conserved RNA secondary structure, the THI element, which is widely distributed in eubacteria and also occurs in some archaea. The record is from RNAcentral. RNAcentral also lists the same sequence under 1 other name. Lineage: Bacteria; Pseudomonadati; Pseudomonadota; Alphaproteobacteria; Hyphomicrobiales; Rhizobiaceae.